AUAUAACUAAGCGGAGGAAAAGAAACUAACCAGGAUUCCCCUAGUAACGGCGAGUGAAGCGGGAAGAGCUCAAGCUGAAAAUCGGUGUGGCUCUGCCACUCUGAAUUGUAGUCUAUAGAAGCCGUUGUCAGUGAGCGUCCCGGGAGAAGUCUCUUGGAACAGGGCAUCAUAGAGGGUGAGAAUCCCGUCUGUGCCGGAAG
Molecule: ribosomal RNA, 200 nt
Filed under: uncultured Hyphochytrium
Lineage: Eukaryota; Hyphochytriomycetes
Description: partial large subunit ribosomal RNA
Rfam family: Eukaryotic large subunit ribosomal RNA
Source: RNAcentral